CCUACGGGAGGCUGCAGUGGGGAAUAUUGGACAAUGGGGGGAACCCUGAUCCAGCCAUGCCGCGUGUGUGAAGAAGGCCCUCGGGUUGUAAAGCACUUUCAGUGAGGAAGAACGCCUGGUGGUUAAUACCCAUCAGGAAAGACAUCACUCACAGAAGAAGCACCGGCUAACUCCGUGCCAGCAGCCGCGGUAAUACGGAGGGUGCGAGCGUUAAUCGGAAUUACUGGGCGUAAAGCGCGCGUAGGUGGCUUGAUAAGCCGGUUGUGAAAGCCCCGGGCUCAACCUGGGAACGGCAUCCGGAACUGUCAAGCUUGAGUGCAGGAGAGGAAGGUAGAAUUCCCGGUGUAGCGGUGAAAUGCGUAGAGAUCGGGAGGAAUACCAGUGGCGAAGGCGGCCUUCUGGACUGACACUGACACUGAGGUGCGAAAGCGUGGGUAGCAAACAGGAUUAGAUACCCGAGUAGUC
This 465-nucleotide ribosomal RNA is filed under the name Vreelandella stevensii. Its description in RNAcentral is "partial 16S ribosomal RNA". It matches the Rfam family "Bacterial small subunit ribosomal RNA", at positions 338 to 795 of the family's 1533-position model. The record is from RNAcentral. Lineage: Bacteria; Pseudomonadati; Pseudomonadota; Gammaproteobacteria; Oceanospirillales; Halomonadaceae.